Long non-coding RNA from Anolis sagrei ordinatus, 4872 nucleotides. RefSeq lists it as uncharacterized. The record is from RefSeq and is a predicted model, not a curated record. NCBI's taxonomy places the organism in Eukaryota, Metazoa, Chordata, Lepidosauria, Squamata, Anolidae.
AAAACCUACAACAACCCUAUAUGAUUGUUUAAAAGAGUCUAACACUUCAGUGGUUAAAGUUUGUUGUACUACUGUCAGCACAUUGGACAAUGUUUCAUUCAUGAAUAUUUUGCAGUGGCAUCUCUGGUACUUAGUAAAAUUGAAAGGAAAAUCUCUUGAGUAUCAUGUUUUGUGAAUUCCUGCUUUUCAUGUCUGAAUUCACUCAUAAUGUCUUGAUUUGGCUUUGAGUAAGAAACACAGCAAGAUAAUCCAUUGUUCAAAUAGUUCACUUGUUCCAUACUCCAGCAUGUUAAAGGGGUUCUGCAGGAAGUGACUAUGGAGCUGUUUUGCCCCAUGGCGGCCUCCUUUUUCUCACUGACAUGCUCUUCUGCUUAUACUUUGGGAGCAAGCAAAACUAUUUUAAAAAGAUAACUAAUUCGCUUUCAAAAAAUAAACCUCCAGAGCCCUGUCAUUCAUCUGUUUCGCUGCCCAAUAACCUGGUUCCUCUGUAUUGGAUUGCGUUUUUCCAAAGUCCUCCAGGUUUCUGUGAUCUUCUCUAAAUUCAAGGUCAAGCACUUUCAGCUGAAGCCACUGCAGCAGUGUGUUGGUAUCUCUAUAGCCAAGCUAAGACUGCAUCAGCUUCGCGGGAGUGUCACGUCACUUUUCAUAUCACCAUGGCUCCCAGGUGGCCACAAAGGUUUUUCUGAGGCCCCUUCCGCACAGCUGAAUAAAAUCCCACAUUAUCUGCUUUGAACUGGAAUAUAUGGCAGUGUGGACUCAGAUAGCCCAGUUCAAAGCAGAUAUUGUGGGAUUUUCUGCUUUAGUAUUCUGGGUUUUAUGGCUGUGUGGAAGAGCCCUGAGUUUCUGACCAUUGCUGUCUCCUCUGUUGAUGUCAGAACAGGACAUUCACACAACCAGGAAAAACAGAGGAUUGUUCCAUUCUGAUGUCAGCAGAGGCACCCACAAUGGCCAGAACCUUGGAUGGAGCUCUGUAGUUGAUGGGAAGUGGCAGUGACAGCUUGGGACAAGCCAUCCCCUUCCCCGUGCUAUUUAGGAGGGGGUGAUAGCACUGUGUCUGGACAGUGGGUCAGGCCAAAUCGGACCUGGGCCAGUUGUCCAGACUGUGACACAAUCCGGGGAUACUCUAGAAUUUCCAGCAAUCUCUGGAGUAUGCCUCGACUUUGCCCUACAAAACACAAUACUCACCAGAAGUCAGCAAACAUCGUAGGGACAGGAUAUAAUGGAAGUCCAGAUUUUCUUGUCCAUGUAGACUUAUUCCUAUUCUAUAGACUUUUUAAGUUGCAGACACAGCAGGUAGGAACAGAGGGAGACAAAAAUGUUUAUGUUGGAACCCGUUGUACUUUCAUAAUAUUUAUCAUUAAACCAUUUGUUUACUUUCUUGUCCCCUUCUGCAAAAGCUCUGUUAGCCACAUGAUACUAAAUUGAUUAAUUAGCAAAGGGUUGUUUUCUGUUUUGUACACAAAAGCCUUAGUGAACAAGAAUAUAUAACUAUAAAGAUAGCAGUCAGCUUAUUACAGCCACAUUUUACUUGCCCUGGUUCUUUCUCAGAUGUGAAAUGUAUGUAUAAAGCUGGAAAUCUGUCCAGUAUAUAGGAAAGGACAAGAUAAAAUUGCAAAUACUGUCUCAUUUCAUUUUCUUCUCUUUUUUUGGCUGGAGUUCUGUUUGAUGUAUUCCUUAUCCAGACUCAAGUUUGGACACCUGGAGAAGAAUCUCCAUGAAAAGAAGAUGUCGUGAAGAGAUGAAUGGUGAGGAACAAAAGCGCACAGAAGAUAUAAUGCAAAGUCUGACCAAGUACUAAAACUUUAAGGAUAUCACUCCAUAAUUCAAUUAUAUGUCACAACUACAGAGGAAGAAGAAAUUCAAAUAUUCUAUGCUGGAGUCCAGGAGGAAAUCAAAUUCACACCAUGUUGAUAAUCAUGGCAUGGUUUGCAUUCCAGUCUCCUAGAGUUAGAUUUAAAAGAUGUGAAACACUGCAAAAUACAGUUUCAAUUCUUGAGCCCUUGGUCCUUCUUUGUUGCUCUUUCUGGGGCAUUUGGUUAGAUGGUUGCAGCAGGUCUGCCUAUUUCCAUAUGAGAUAAUACCUCUCAAGGCAGCACUCAUCUCAGUGAUCUUUAGAGCCACAAGAAUUGGGGAAUUAAUGGCAGGGUCCAGGAGAGACAGAUCUGGGAGAGGACUUCAGCUCCGGAAUGUGGAGAUCAUCAAUUCUGCAUCUCGCAUCUGCAUCAAGCAUUCUAAAUGUGACCAGUGGAGGAACCAAUCGGUGAUUCAUCUUUGAGCUCUGGGCAUGAGGGGUCCAUGCCCAGGACCCAAAAUGCAAGUAUUAUCAGAGUAUUUGACAAUGUGUUUUGUGGGGGAGCACCCAAUUUUCACACAUGCAAACUACAUGCUCCUCUCAUUUCCAAAUCAUUGCAGUUCUUCAUUUGGCUCUCAGCAGCCUUGAAUUGCUAGCAGCAGAACAUGGGGAUCACUCAUUCAGGAUCAGAGUGGCAAUGGUGGCUGCAGAUUGUGAUCUGGUAAGGACUCCACCAAGCACCAAGCACUCCACCAAGCACAUAAGUUUUUGGACAUCCGGGAUCUGGAUACUGUGCAUGACAAUUUUGAUUCUUUUACAGGAUUGAAACAAUGAUGAAGACAGGACACAUGGCCAACACAUUCCAACGGCCAGUGGAAGGCCUUGGGGCAAGUCAUAGAGGUUGUGAGAUGGUCUAGAAAAGGAUUUAAUAGACAAGCUCAGGGUGGCAACUAUGGACAGCUCCCUGCCAUUGUCUGCCUUUUCUUUGGUUGCAGCUGCACUGUGGUUGACAUAAGCCAGUCCUCUAGUCUACUUUUUGUGGCAGCUGGUAUCAGUUUUAGAUCCAAGAUCAGGUGUCCAGUGCAUGCCAAGUCCUGGUGGUAUAGGGGGUCCUAUUGGGGGACUUGAGAGGGAUGUGUGGUCUGCAGGGCUCUUACCCAGAUGGGAAUAGACCCAUACUACACCCCAUCCUGGUGGCUGUGAGAAACUACAACUGGGAUGCCCCAUUGGGUAGAUCUCAUGCCACUCCAGUGUGAGCUGUCACUAGAUCAGUUCUGCGGUGUCAUUGAUCAUCAGGUGGGUUAGUCAAUGUUUGGCUCCUGAUCCUCGUGUGGGCCAACGUUCAUCAAACUGUAACCAAAAUAAAGUUGUGGCCUUUUAAUUAUCUAACUGUGAUUAUUCUGUGGCCAAAAAAAGGAAUGGGGUUGGCCUGCAUUGAGAUCUCUCUAGAACAACUGAAUUACAACAGAAACAUACAAAAUGUAGGUCUGUGACUCAACUAUUUUUGUCUCUGCUGUUGAUUAAACUUUUCUGUGUCCUAGAGGGAAGUGCAGGGUGGGGAUGGGAUGUUGAGGAGCAGCAGAAUUACAGAACAGAUUUUUUAUGUUCCCAUGAUUUGGAGGGCUUUGGAAGGAGCAAAAUACUAAAUCCACUUUGCUGUUGCAUGCACCCAGCCUUAAGUAACUUUUGUCCUUAGGAAAACUAGUUUUCUCAUGGAGUUGGAGAGAGACACUUGAGAGCUUUUUCACAAUAUCUCAUAUUGUAGAAAACAAAUAAUUGUAGAAAACAAAUAAAAAUACAUAGGAACUAAAUGAGGUUGUGGACUUGAUAAUUGCCAUUCAUUUAUUUUCAUUUAUUUAAUUUAUAUCCAAUCUUUCUCUCAGCAUGGAAACCAAAAUUGUUGUUUUCCUGCUUACUGAUGGAAAGACAGAAAGAGAGUGCAACAUACAAGAUUGAAAUCCUGCCUUAGUCCAAUAAACUGCACUAUGAUAAAGGACUAACCAACCACUUUCAUAUGAGGUGGCAAUAGUGUCCUGGCGAUUCUUUACCAGAGUUACUGCUUGACCAAGCGCCUUUUUACACUGACACUAUAAUGCACAGGACUUUUUGUAUUUAUCUCUUCUCUUCCAUGUACACAUAAUUUUCUACACGUGCUUCAAAUGCUUCCCUUUUCUCUUUAAAAAGAUCUCUUCAAGAAUCACUGUACUCUUGGAACUGUUGAAAAUGGAGUUGUAUUUGUCAGGACUUGUGGAAGACCAGAUGGGGAAGUAAUGGGAAAGUACUAUGAUAUAAGGCCACAGAAGCAAGAGUAUUGUAUGUUCAGACGUAGAAAUAUACAACCAUAUAUAAAUGAAGAAUGACUAUUGAAACUGAGAUUUUGUGGAAAUGGACAAAUUAACCAUGUUUUUUUUCUGACCUUUGUAGAAGACUGGUAAUUUAUGUAUUUUUUAUUUUGCAGAGUGAAGAGAACAAUAUAUUGACUGUAGUUUUUUAUAAAUUAGUAAGCACUAGAAAUGCAUGAAUGAUAAUUAAGUUUAAAGAAGCUAUUUUAUUUAGUUUUAUAUAUAUUCCCGUAUUUACUCAAUUCGAAUGCUCACCCUUUUGAUUAAAAUAUUUUCCCAAAAUUAGAGUGUGCAUUAGAUUUGUUAAUAUGGCAAAUCCUUUUUUGGGGGUUUUGGGUUUUGAAAAUUGAGGUGCACAUUAGAUUCGAUGGCACAUUAGACUUGAGUAAAUACGAUAUUUUAUAGAAAAGUUGGAAAUCAAAUAUACUGUACAUAGAAAUCUUUUCUUUUUCUUUCUUUUCUUAUUUCUAAACUAUUUCUUGCUGUAUUAAACUUUUUCUUACAGUAUUGUCGAAGGCUUUAACUGGGGUGCUGUGGGGUUUCCGGACUAUGUGGACAUGUUCUUGCGGCGUUUUCUCUUUACAUUUUUCCAGCAUCGGUGGCUGACAUUUUCAGAGGAUUUCUUACUGUGAUUCUCUUUUUAUACUAACUCAUUUUUACUUCUGUGUUAUUCUUUUUGGUGACAUAUUUAUUGUAUUUGAAAAUCCCUAAAAUAAAAUAAUAAUAAUUGUUGUUGUU